CUACAGUGUGACUGCGUACCUUUUGUAUAAUGGGUCAGCGACUUAUAUUCUGUAGCAAGGUUAACCGUAUAGGGGAGCCGUAGGGAAACCGAGUCUUAACCGGGCGUUAAGUUGCAGGGUAUAGACCCGAAACCCGGUGAUCUAGCCAUGGGCAGGUUGAAGGUUGGGUAACACUAACUGGAGGACCGAACCGACUAAUGUUGAAAAA
Molecule: ribosomal RNA, 208 nt
Filed under: Salmonella enterica subsp. enterica serovar Bareilly
Lineage: Bacteria; Pseudomonadati; Pseudomonadota; Gammaproteobacteria; Enterobacterales; Enterobacteriaceae
Description: partial 23S ribosomal RNA
Rfam family: Bacterial large subunit ribosomal RNA
Source: RNAcentral